AGCGAACGCUGGCGGCAGGCUUAACACAUGCAAGUCGAACGGACCUUUCGGGGUCAGCGGCGGACGGGUGAGUAACGCGUGGGAACGUGCCUUCCGGUUCGGAAUAACCCUGGGAAACUAGGGCUAAUACCGGAUACGCCCUUAUGGGGAAAGGUUUACUGCCGGAAGAUCGGCCCGCGUCUGAUUAGCUAGUUGGUGGGGUAACGGCCUACCAAGGCGACGAUCAGUAGCUGGUCUGAGAGGAUGAUCAGCCACACUGGGACUGAGACACGGCCCAGACUCCUACGGGAGGCAGCAGUGGGGAAUAUUGGACAAUGGGCGCAAGCCUGAUCCAGCCAUGCCGCGUGAGUGAUGAAGGCCUUAGGGUUGUAAAGCUCUUUUAUCCGGGACGAUAAUGACGGUACCGGAGGAAUAAGCCCCGGCUAACUUCGUG
This 433-nucleotide ribosomal RNA is filed under the name uncultured bacterium. RNAcentral's name for it is "partial 16S ribosomal RNA". It matches the Rfam family "Bacterial small subunit ribosomal RNA", at positions 29 to 507 of the family's 1533-position model. The record is from RNAcentral.